GAUGAAGAACGUAGCGAAAUGCGAUACGUAGUGUGAAUUGCAGAAUUCAGUGAAUCAUCGAAUCUUUGAACGCACAUUGCACCUCUCGGUAUUCCGGGAGGUAUGCCUGUUCGAGCGUCAUUUGUACCCUCAAGCUCUGCUUGGUGUUGGGUGUUUGUUCCGCCUCUGUGUGUGAACUCGCCUCAAAACAAUUGGCAGCCGGCGUACUUGUUUCGGAGCGCAGCACAUUUUGCGAUCCAGAUCAACGUACAGCGGCAUCCAAGAAGCCUUAUUUAACGCUCUUGACCUCGGAUCAGGUAGGGAUACCCGCUGAACUUAAGCAUAUCAAUAAGCGGAGA
This 338-nucleotide unclassified non-coding RNA is filed under the name soil metagenome. RNAcentral describes it as "partial contains 5.8S ribosomal RNA, internal transcribed spacer 2, and large subunit ribosomal RNA". The stretch from base 1 to 120 matches the Rfam family "5.8S ribosomal RNA", at positions 35 to 154 of the family's 154-position model. The record is from RNAcentral.